Eptesicus fuscus (big brown bat) is the source of this 461-nucleotide long non-coding RNA. RefSeq lists it as uncharacterized. The transcript is spliced from 2 exons. The record is from RefSeq and is a predicted model, not a curated record. NCBI's taxonomy places the organism in Eukaryota, Metazoa, Chordata, Mammalia, Chiroptera, Vespertilionidae.
UUGCCUCUGCCUGCCCCACAUAGAUCUUCCCGCGUGGACUUGCGCUAAAAGCAGUUCCUGGAUGAUGGCUGAGCUCCCCAGGACACCGAGUCGGCCGCAGCUGCAGAGGGCGGAGCAGGAACAGCGGCAUUAGCACUGGCCGUCCGGCCGGUCACUCCUCUCCGUCUGACUCAAGGAGCCUGGCAGGUGCCGCCGUCCUGAUGGGUGGCCAAAGCAAGACACAUCUCCAGAAUGUCCUCGUCACGUGGCUGCAGGAUGGGAAAAUGAAGCCGCCGCCCACAGGAGUGAGGCGAGCCCCACCCCCAGCCACCCUCCUGCAUCUACUAACCAGUCAUCCUCCGCUGGAGACAUCACCCAGCUCCUGCCCAGACCGUGGGAGGAGGAGUCACCUCGCUCACAGCCAGGGAUGGGGGCAGUGUCAGUUUUGGUGUUGCCAUUUCAAUAACAUUAUUUUUUCUUGC